This 223-nucleotide ribosomal RNA is filed under the name uncultured bacterium. RNAcentral's name for it is "partial 16S ribosomal RNA". It matches the Rfam family "Bacterial small subunit ribosomal RNA", at positions 524 to 745 of the family's 1533-position model. The record is from RNAcentral.
GACGAACCGUGCGAAUGUUGUUCGGAAUCACUGGGCUUAAAGGGCGCGUAGGCGGGCGAUCAAGUCAGGGGUGAAAUCCUCCGGCUCAACCGGAGAACUGCCUUUGAUACUGGUCAUCUCGAGUGAGGUAGGGGCAUGCGGAACUGAUGGUGGAGCGGUGAAAUGUGUUGAUAUCAUCAGGAACUCCGGUGGCGAAAGCGGCGUGCUGGACCUUUACUGUACG